This is a long non-coding RNA of Numida meleagris (helmeted guineafowl), 698 nucleotides long. RefSeq lists it as uncharacterized. The transcript is spliced from 3 exons. NCBI's taxonomy places the organism in Eukaryota, Metazoa, Chordata, Aves, Galliformes, Numididae. The record is from RefSeq and is a predicted model, not a curated record.
CCCGUGUGUUUCCUGACACAGCUUUCCUGUCAAUGCCACGUGGCUCCCACUCCCUGCCGCCCGUUCCUGCGUUUCCUCCCAUUGUGCUGGGAAGCCCCGUGCCUCAGCGCCAGGUCCCUUCCUGAGGGUGCUGCAGGACCUGCAGGCCGCUCAGCGGCUGUGUCCUACUUAGAAACAGUUGCUAGGUGAGAGGUGGCUUCCAGCCCUGCUGCAGAGGCCUCAAUUCCCACAGCAUGGCUCAGAAAAGGUCCUUCUGUAUGUCACCCGUGUGCGACACCAGCAGCAUUGAUCGUGCAGGAAUAAUUUUUGGGCAAAGCUCUGCUCAUGCCUGAAAACGGAAGUGGACAAGAUGCAAGGAACAAUCCCAAACCCUAGAGUCACCAAUGUUAGCCCCCAAAGGAAAGCACUCAGUGAGCACUGAUUAAAUGCUUGGAGACCAAUCCUUCAAACGCUGGCAUAACCAAGGCAAGGGAGCAGGCCUCUUGCCACAUGAGGCUCUCCUCCAGACUUUUCAUGGGACUAAAUUCUGCCAAAGUGCAUGAGGUCGAGCCCUCCGUCCUUAUAGUGCGCACUGAGAUAUGGAUUCCUAUCUGCACUUUACAGAUAAAGAAACCAAACUCCAGAGCUGCCAAAUGUCUGUUUCUGCACACCAUACAGAGGAUAAAAACUCUUAAUUCAUCUGCAUAAAGAAUCGGAUG